Molecule: ribosomal RNA, 199 nt
Filed under: uncultured bacterium
Lineage: Bacteria
Description: partial 16S ribosomal RNA
Rfam family: Bacterial small subunit ribosomal RNA
Source: RNAcentral
ACUCCUACGGGAGGCAGCGGUGGGGAAUUUUGGACAAUGGGGGAAACCCUGAUCCAGCCAUUCCGCGUGUGCGAUGAAGGCCUUCGGGUUGUAAAGCACUUUUGGCAGGAAGGAAAUCGCAUCAAUUAAUACUUGGUGUGGAUGACGGUACCUGCAGAAUAAGCACCGGCUAACUACGUGCCAGCAGCCGCGGUAAUAC